RNAcentral lists this ribosomal RNA (678 nucleotides) under Targowskia paracuniculus. Its description in RNAcentral is "Haemophilus paracuniculus bacterial LSU rRNA". It matches the Rfam family "Bacterial large subunit ribosomal RNA", at positions 1 to 606 of the family's 2925-position model. Lineage: Bacteria; Pseudomonadati; Pseudomonadota; Gammaproteobacteria; Pasteurellales; Pasteurellaceae. The record is from RNAcentral.
GUUGUAUAGUUAAGUGACUAAGCGUACACGGUGGAUGCCUAGGCAAUCAGAGGCGAAGAAGGACGUGCUAAUCUGCGAAAAGCUUGGAUGAGUCGAUAAGAGGCGUUUAAUCCAAGAUGUCCGAAUGGGGAAACCCGCUAGGUGAAGAACCUAGCAUUUACUAUUGAAUACAUAGGUAGUAAAGGCAAACCGGGAGAACUGAAACAUCUAAGUACCCCGAGGAAAAGAAAUCAACCGAGAUUCCGUAAGUAGCGGCGAGCGAAAGUGGAAGAGCCAGUAAGUUUUAGCAUCAUAUUUAGGAGAAUGAGCUGGGAAGCUCAAUCGUAGAGGGUGAUAGUCCCGUAUCCGAAAAAUCUGAUGUGGAACUAAGCUUACAACAAGUAGGGCGGGACACGAGAAAUCCUGUUUGAAGAUGGGGGGACCAUCCUCCAAGGCUAAAUACUCCUGAUUGACCGAUAGUGAACCAGUACUGUGAAGGAAAGGCGAAAAGAACCCCAGUGAGGGGAGUGAAAUAGAACCUGAAACCGUGUACGUACAAGCAGUGGGAGCCCCAUCACUCAAUCCUAUUGAGUGGUGUAAAAAAUCCACAAAAUCUAACCGCUUGGUUAACCACUUGCGAAGCAAGUGGGUCAACCGAAAAAAGGCAGUGGGAUUGAGUGAUGGGGUGACUGCGUACCU